RNAcentral lists this ribosomal RNA (496 nucleotides) under uncultured bacterium. RNAcentral's name for it is "partial 16S ribosomal RNA". It matches the Rfam family "Bacterial small subunit ribosomal RNA", at positions 29 to 507 of the family's 1533-position model. The record is from RNAcentral.
AUGCACGCUGGCGGCGUGCCUCAUACAUGCAAGUCGAGCGAACGGACGAGAAGCUUGCUUCUCUGAUGUUAGCGGCGGACGGGUGAGUAACACGUGGAUAACCUACCUAUAAGACUGGGAUAACUUCGGGAAACCGGAGCUAAUACCGGAUAAUAUUUUGAACCGCAUGGUUCAAAAGUGAAAGACGGUCUUGCUGUCACUUAUAGAUGGAUCCGCGCUGCAUUAGCUAGUUGGUAAGGUAACGGCUUACCAAGGCAACGAUGCAUAGCCGACCUGAGAGGGUGAUCGGCCACACUGGAACUGAGACACGGUCCAGACUCCUACGGGAGGCAGCAGUAGAGAAUCUUCCGCAAUGGGCGAAAGCCUGACGGAGCAACGCCGCGUGAGUGAUGAAGGUCUUCGGAUCGUAAAACUCUGUUAUUAGGGAAGAACAUAUGUGUAAGUAACUGUGCACAUCUUGACGGUACCUAAUCAGAAAGCCACGGCUAACUACGUG